GCCUACCGCAGCUGCUCCCUCCGGCAGCUUCAUUUUCCGCUCGUUCAAGCCAGCUAAUUCAGGCUCCAAAGAACCAUUCCUAUGCUCAAGGUCAUUGCCACAGGAAGUCUAUGACUGCAUCCUCUCACAUCUGCAAUGUUCUCACCUAGCUCCCCAUUGCCAGGGGUGUAUAACAUGCUAUAUGCGAGAUUUAUAUUCCCUAGCAUUAACGAGCAGAGCUUGGGAAAAAGCCGUGAGGGGUAAACUAUAUAACAAAAUCUAUAUCCAAGGUAACGACUCGCCCGCUCAACUCAAGAAAUACAAGUGGAAAAGAGGAAGUAGAUUAAGAUUGCUGCGACGAUCUUUGAGAGAAAGAAAGUUGUUGGCCAAUGCAGUGUUUGAGCUUAGGGUGCCUGAUCUGGAGACGGCAAUGGGGGGAAAUGGAAAACAAAGCAUUACCGCACAGGAAUAUCGGGACCUUGUGGCAUCAGUCGUGAUGGUGUGCCCGAACUUGGAACGCCUAGUCGGACUUUCGUUGCCCUAUAACCACGAGUUUGACCGCUUGACACACGCUCUUUCAACGCGAAAGAAACUCAAGGAGCACGCGUGGAUCUUUGCGGGCAACCCCGGAACCGGCGAACGGUCAAAGAAUCAAUCUGCCCAAAUUUUAGAUAAUGAACAAGUUUUCCAGUUCCUCAACUACCACGCUUCAUGGUCUAACCUCGACACCCUCAUGGUACAUUCUUUGGAUUCUAGUGGAGUAGUGGGACAUGGCAUAUUCCUACGGAUACUCAACUUCCUACCAUCCUUACGUCAUUUGACAGUUUGCGGUUUCCAAGCUGAUGAUUUUACACACCGUACAUUAUUAUUUUUGCCUCAGUUGAUCUCGCUCCGUCUCGAGAAUCUCCCAGGAUUGACGCAGCACGGACUGGCCCAUUAUUCAACUCGUCCAGAGGCUCGCGCCC
RNAcentral lists this small RNA (944 nucleotides) under Histoplasma capsulatum var. duboisii H88. RNAcentral describes it as "Histoplasma capsulatum H88 hypothetical RNA". The record is from RNAcentral. Lineage: Eukaryota; Fungi; Ascomycota; Eurotiomycetes; Onygenales; Ajellomycetaceae.